GCAUAAAAGAACAUAGUUUCAAGUGGUAAGUUAUGCUUGACAAACAAUUCAUACAAAUUUCCAGGGUGUAUUUGAAAAUGAAGAUAAUUAAUGUAAUUAAUAUGAUUACAUACCAUCUCAUCACAGAGAUCACCAAAACACAGUACUGGAAAUUAUUUAUAUUGAGCAUUAUAAACAUAUGAAAAUAAACUUAACUAACAGGUAAUACAAACGUUAAGGUAUGACAUGUUACAUUACUUAGAACCAUGUUUACCAUACUCUUCAGCUCUGCCAACAGCAUCCAUGAAAACAUCAAUUGUCCAAUCCUUUACGUCCUCCUGUAGAUAGCAUAUGAUGAAAACUUCAGCCACUAAACUAAAAAAAUUCCUUGUAAUUUAUUUCCAAGACAAAACUCUUAUAA
RNAcentral lists this long non-coding RNA (400 nucleotides) under Cicer arietinum (chickpea). RNAcentral's name for it is "long non-coding RNA (CARI_LNC000680)". Lineage: Eukaryota; Viridiplantae; Streptophyta; Magnoliopsida; Fabales; Fabaceae. The record is from RNAcentral.